UACGGGGGGGGCAGGCGUUGUUCGGAAUUACUGGGCGUAAAGGGCUUGUAGGUGGCCAACUAAGUCAGACGUGAAAUCCCUCGGCUUAACCGGGGAACUGCGUCUGAUACUGGAUGGCUUGAGUGUGGGAGAGGGAUGCGGAAUUCCAGGUGUAGCGGUGAAAUGCGUAGAUAUCUGGAGGAACACCGGUGGCGAAGGCGGCAUCCUGGACCAUUACUGACACUGAGAAGCGAAAGCCAGGGGAGCAAACGGG
RNAcentral lists this ribosomal RNA (253 nucleotides) under uncultured bacterium. RNAcentral describes it as "partial 16S ribosomal RNA". It matches the Rfam family "Bacterial small subunit ribosomal RNA", at positions 524 to 776 of the family's 1533-position model. The record is from RNAcentral.